RNAcentral lists this ribosomal RNA (253 nucleotides) under uncultured bacterium. RNAcentral describes it as "partial 16S ribosomal RNA". It matches the Rfam family "Bacterial small subunit ribosomal RNA", at positions 524 to 776 of the family's 1533-position model. The record is from RNAcentral.
UACAUGUGGGGCAAGCGUUGUUCGGAAUUACUGGGCAUAAAGGGUGCGUAGGCGGCUUGUUAAGUCAGGGGUGAAAGUUUUCGGCCCAACCGGAAAAUUGCCUUUGAUACUGGCGAGCUCGAGUGCGUGAGGGGUAACCGGAACGAGCAGUGUAGCGGUGAAAUGCGUAGAUAUUGCUCGGAAGGCCAACGGCGAAGGCAGGUUACUGGUACGCAACUGACGCUGGGGCACGAAAGCGUGGGGAGCAAACAGG